This 21-nucleotide non-coding RNA is filed under the name Caenorhabditis elegans. Lineage: Eukaryota; Metazoa; Nematoda; Chromadorea; Rhabditida; Rhabditidae. The record is from RNAcentral.
UAUCCAUAACGUCGCCUUCCG